This 215-nucleotide long non-coding RNA is filed under the name Mytilus galloprovincialis (Mediterranean mussel). The record is from RNAcentral. Lineage: Eukaryota; Metazoa; Mollusca; Bivalvia; Mytilida; Mytilidae.
UUUCAUUUUUAAGUCUCCCAAACAAAGUUUGGAGACUUAUUGUUUUUGGUCAGUUCUUAUUAUUUUUAUUAUUCUUCUUCUUCCUCUUCUUCCUCUUCUUCCGCCACUUUAAAAAUGAACUUGUCCGCAGCGGUUCUCCUAAAUGGCUUGUCAGAUUUACUUAGGAUUUUACAAUAUGUUAGACUAACAUGUCUAGGUGAGCCAUCAAUCUUUCG